Molecule: long non-coding RNA, 384 nt
Organism: Protopterus annectens (West African lungfish)
Lineage: Eukaryota; Metazoa; Chordata; Ceratodontiformes; Protopteridae
Exons: 3
Source: RefSeq, a predicted model, not a curated record
UAGACUCAAGCAUUGCUGUACUCUUCUGGAUAGGCCUUGCUUAUUGUGCAUUCGAGAGAAGGGGUGUUUUUGUCCAUGGAAUUUUUGUGUGCAGAACACAUGGCCUUGACUACUAAGAAAGUGUCUGUGAUGGUUGAGUUCUUAGGCCGGGCUUUCUGAAUUUUAAGGGUCUAAAACAAGGAAAGGCUGAUGCUGCUUUUGGAAGACAUCCUCAUACAUGAUCUGCUGCAACUCCAGAAAUAUAUCUCUCCCACGGAGAGGAACAGAACAUGCACAGUAUGGAAUACAGCCGAAGAUUUCAACAAGGCUAAUUAUUUUGUUGUCUAGGUAUUCUGAGUAGAAUUUUUUUUUAUUUGUAAAUAAAAAUUUCCCUUUUGAAAACAA